AUGACCAAGGGCGAGGUUCCGUUGAUCGGCAUCGACCUUGGUACAACUUACUCCUACGUCAGCGUGUGGCAGAAGGUCGAAAUCAUGGCCAACGACCAGGGCAACCGCAUACCACACCACGCCCUCCUACGUCGCCUGAACCAGCUCGCAAUGAACCCCACCAACACUGUCUCCAAUCAUAGUACAAAGUUAAGCUGGCAACGAGGUAUCCCUUUCCAUCCAUCAUCCCUGGUUUACACAUUUGGUCCAGGAUCGGACUCGCCUACUCUGAACAAUAGUUUUCUGUUCUGA
RNAcentral lists this ribosomal RNA (291 nucleotides) under Triticum aestivum (bread wheat). RNAcentral's name for it is "partial small subunit ribosomal RNA". Lineage: Eukaryota; Viridiplantae; Streptophyta; Magnoliopsida; Poales; Poaceae. The record is from RNAcentral.